This is a long non-coding RNA of Alligator mississippiensis (American alligator), 2408 nucleotides long. RefSeq lists it as uncharacterized. Lineage: Eukaryota; Metazoa; Chordata; Crocodylia; Alligatoridae. The record is from RefSeq and is a predicted model, not a curated record. The transcript has 4 exons.
CCUCCAGCUCCAGUGCUCGGGGCAGGGAAACCCGGCACCCCCCACUCGAGCCCCCUUGCCUCCUGCAGUCGCGGGCUUCGCCUGUGCAGCGCGUGCACGGCUGUGGCUCGAGCGCCCAGGGCUGAAUGCCGCAUGGCUCAUCCCCUCCCCUGUGAAGCGCCGGACUCAGCCCCGACGUUGCCUGCGGAGCCUACCUGCGCGGCGCGGAGCUGCUGGAGGCCUGCGCUAGCCCACCUGCGUGUGCCAGCUGUGGAGGCCCGGUGCAGAGCUAGCGGUCAUUGCAAGCGCUCCUGGCUCGAGGAGCGGAGCUGCUCGCCCGCGGAGCGCGAGGGCCGCCUCCAGCCGAUCCGUGCGUGCUGCCAGUGGCUUCGACCCAUGCAGACGCUGCCCAGCGCGUGACAGCCGGCUCCCCUCCAGUAGCCAGGCGACUUGGGGGCUCUCCGGGCACAGGGGAGGGAAUUUGGCCCUCCCUAGGGACAUCCCCGCGUCUCGCUUACACGGGGCCCGUCCGUCCCCACGCGAUCCCUCCCCCCGCCCAGCUGCUGCCGAAACAGCAGAUGAUCUGGGGGACACGGCGCUACUUUUCCAUGAGCAAGCGAGCUUUCCUGUGCGACCCAUCUGGAGGGCAGAAAGGAGCGUCCUGGCUUGCAAAGCCACAUUGCGUCCUAGACCAGCCGUCUGGCGGAUACACAGGGCCCUUUAUUCCAGCCAGCGCCAGGUGAUUUUCCACCGCAACUCCCCCUCUGCCGUCCCCGUGGCGGGAUCGCAGCCCGGAGCGCUGCCCCACGCGAGCCCCAUCACUGCCGAGACAGGCUUCGCAGAGGGGCUGAGGAGGAGAGAAGCACUUCCACAAUGUAUUUGAACUCCUUGAAGCCCAGGACUUGGCACGAUGCAGGCAGGGAGUAGGUAUUUUUGGGAGUUGUCAGGUUUAUCAGCAGCAGCAAGGUCUUUGGAAGGGGAUCGGGAUGUCCUGGCCUCUCAGCUGGAGACUCGGGACCUGUCAGGGUGGAUUAUGCCACACCUGUGCAGGUAUCGCAUCUUCCAGAAGCCCUCCACAGGGGUCACAGCUGGGGACGGGAGUCUGGUCCAGAGGGUCGCAGCGGCUGCACCCCUGCACGCAUGCGUCUUGCAGCAAAGGGCAUGAACCUGAGCUCCUGGAGAGCAGGGGCGCUGCAUCUCCCACCCCGUGGCUCAGCCCCCGGCUGCCUCCUCAUCCCAUUGAUCUGGGCAUCGUGCAAGACCACGAGGGGCCCAGGUCGGUGCAACGAGGCAUGCAGCAGCAUGCCUGGUCCUGCGCAGACAUUUGCAGCAGCACCACCCUGGUCCUGCCCAGGACCUUGGGCUGCGCCCCUGCCCCUGCAGCCAGCCCGGAGCUGCCGCACCCACCCCGCCCACAAGGGGGACACCCAGCUCCCUCCAGCUCUAUGGCUCUUUCCUGCAGGAAGUCGCUCACUACGGUCCUUCUUUCCACCACCUUUUACUCUAUGCUCCUGCCCGAGGCCCCCUCGUGGGGCUGCCCCAGCGACUGCCUGUUCACAACAACUGACACACGCCCGGAACCAGGGGGCACCCCGGGAAAUGGCUAAUAAGUCUCUCUUCGCCAUGCUCCCAUUCUUAUAAUCUGUUUCCUGAGCAGAACGCACACGAGCAGCCAUGUUUUCUGAGGGCACUCGGGAAGGAAGGCUCGGCAGCCAUCUUUGUUAGGGGCAGCGUGCUUUCCCCGCCCCACCUGAGGGGUAGCAGCCAUCUUGGCUGAGGGCACCGGGAGCGUCAGAUCCCGGGCGGCGCCAUUUUGAGUCCUGGCAAAACCUGUGGCAACGGGCGCGACGCCGGACCCCGCGCGCCCUCCCCGCGGAUACGGCACGGCCUCAACUCCUGGCUGGCGGGGUGCGGAGGCAGCGAGAUUUUUCCAAGUCUGGAGGCUCACAGCUGGAACACCACUAAAACUCAGCCCCUGUCAGGAAGUCCCAUGCUGUGUGCAGUUGGUGCCUUUCAGGCUGGAAAUACUGCACUCUGCUUCUGAAAAUGGACUUCAAACAGCCAGAGAUGGCUGGGGGACAGCUGUCUUGCCCAGGGACCCUGGCUGACUGGGGGAGUGCUGGCAGAAGCUAUUCUCCUGGACCCAUGAGACACCCUUCCCUCUUCUCCCCCACCCCGGCCUGUUGUAUGGAGAGCACCUGUAGCUGAUACCUGCUUCACUGCUGGCAUAAGGUCUUGUGCAGAACUCAUACAGCUCACAAUGUGUCCAUACAUCUCUUCUUUAUCUUGAGAGACACCCGAAACACUAGCAAGUGCCAAGACAAAUUGAAGCAUCCAGCCUAAGGAAACAAGCACAUGGUGGAGUCCAUAUGUUCUAAAAUUAGGCUCAUCUUUGUUUAUAACGAUAUGUAAUAAAUGAAUACGUUGCA